RNAcentral lists this ribosomal RNA (444 nucleotides) under uncultured bacterium. RNAcentral describes it as "partial 16S ribosomal RNA". It matches the Rfam family "Bacterial small subunit ribosomal RNA", at positions 339 to 795 of the family's 1533-position model. The record is from RNAcentral.
CUACGGGGCGCACCAGUGGGGAAUAUUGCACAAUGGGCGAAAGCCUGAUGCAGCAACGCCGCGUGAGGGACGACGGCCUUCGGGUUGUAAACCUCUUUUAGCAGGGAAGAAGCGAAAGUGACGGUACCUGCAGAAAAAGCACCGGCUAACUACGUGCCAGCAGCCGCGGUAAUACGUAGGGUGCAAGCGUUGUCCGGAAUUAUUGGGCGUAAAGAGCUCGUAGGCGGUUUGUCGCGUCUGCUGUGAAAAUCCGAGGCUCAACCUCGGACCUGCAGUGGGUACGGGCAAACUAGAGUGCGGUAGGGGAGAUUGGAAUUCCUGGUGUAGCGGUGGAAUGCGCAGAUAUCAGGAGGAACACCAAUGGCGAAGGCAGAUCUCUGGGCCGUAACUGACGCUGAGGAGCGAAAGCGUGGGGAGCGAACAGGAUUAGAUACCCCUGUAGUC